This 441-nucleotide ribosomal RNA is filed under the name uncultured bacterium. Its description in RNAcentral is "bacterial SSU rRNA". It matches the Rfam family "Bacterial small subunit ribosomal RNA", at positions 28 to 449 of the family's 1533-position model. The record is from RNAcentral.
GAUGAACGCUGGCGGCGUGCUUAACACAUGCAAGUCGAACGAAGCACUUAAGACAGAUUCUUUCGGGAUGAAGACUUUUGUGACUGAGUGGCGGACGGGUGAGUAACGCGUGGGUAACCUGCCUUAUACAGGGGGAUAGCAGUUGGAAAUGACUGGUAAUACCGCAUAAGCGCACAGUACCGCAUGGUACAGUGUGAAAAACUCCGGUGGUAUAAGAUGGACCCGCGUCUGAUUAGCUGGUUGGCAGGGUAACGGCCUACCAAGGCGACGAUCAGUAGCCGACCUGAGAGGGUGACCGGCCACAUUGGGACUGAGACACGGCCCAGACUCCUACGGGAGGCAGCAGUGGGGAAUAUUGCACAAUGGAGGAAACUCUGAUGCAGCGACGCCGCGUGAGUGAAGAAGUAUUUCGGUAUGUAAAGCUCUAUCAGCAGGGAAGAU